GGGCACCCCGCUGCCCGCCGCCUCCGCCGAGCCGAGCGGCGGUGGCUGCGGAAGCGACUGGGGCUGCGCGGACACCAGCGCCCCGGAGCCCGCGAGGAGCCUGGGGGCCCCGGGCUGGAGGAAGAGCCGAGCACCGGCGCAGCCUGCGGGACUGGCACUCACCGGGCCUCUCAACCCCCAGACCUUGCAACUGCAGUUGGAGCUGGAGGAGGAAGAGGAGGAAGCUGGGGAUCGAAAAGAGGGAGGGGAUGAACAGCAGGAGGCGCCCCCCGGGGAGGAGCUGGAGCCCAGGACCCGCGCGGGGGCCGCCGACGGACUGGUCCUGGACGUGCUGGGUCAGCGGCGCCCGCCCCUCUCCCAGAGACAAGUCUUUUGCUCCGUCUACUGCGUGGAGAGCGACCUGCCCGAGGCCCCCGCCUCGGAGCAGCUCUCGCCGCCCGCGUCGCCACCUGGGGCUCCGCCAGUGCUGAAUCCUCCCAGCACCCGCUCUUCCUUCCCCAGCCCCCGACUGUCCCUCCCAACGGAUUCCCUCUCCCCCGACGGCGGCAGCAUCGAGCUGGAGUUCUACCUGGCGCCUGAGCCGUUCUCCAUGCCCAGCCUGUUGGGAGCUCCACCCUACUCUGGCCUGGGCGGUGUAGGGGAUCCCUAUGCGCCCCUCAUGGUGCUGAUGUGCCGGGUGUGCCUGGAAGACAAGCCCAUCAAGCCCCUGCCUUGCUGCAAGAAGGCCGUGUGCGAGGAGUGCCUCAAAGUCUACCUGAGCGCCCAGAUUAAAGUUGCUGUUUGCCUCUUAGCUUAGUCAGCUUUGUGGAGAAGAGCACAGUAACCCUGGGCGAGGGACUCCAGGUGCUGUGAAGGCGUCCCGCCUGUCUCAGGGGGCCAAGUGCUGGUCUCCGUGCCGCUUUUCCCAUGCAGUGCUGCUGGGGUGAGUUCCCUGUGCCAAACUUCCCACCUUCAGCAGAACUUAGAGCUGUUCAUGAGAAUGA
RNAcentral lists this long non-coding RNA (983 nucleotides) under Rhinopithecus bieti (black snub-nosed monkey). RNAcentral's name for it is "lncRNA (ENSRBIG00000045779.1)". Lineage: Eukaryota; Metazoa; Chordata; Mammalia; Primates; Cercopithecidae. The record is from RNAcentral.